GACGAACGCUGGCGGCGUGCUUAACACAUGCAAGUCGUACGGUAAGGCCCUUUCGGGGGUACACGAGUGGCGCACGGGUGAGUAACACGUGAGUAACCUGCCCACAACUUUGGGAUAACGCUAGGAAACUGGUGCUAAUACUGGAUAUGUGCUCCUGCUGCAUGGUGGGGGUUGGAAAGCUCCGGCGGUUGUGGAUGGACUCGCGGCCUAUCAGCUUGUUGGUGGGGUAGUGGCCUACCAAGGCGGCGACGGGUAGCCGGCCUGAGAGGGUGACCGGCCACAGUGGGACUGAGAUACGGCCCAGACUCCUACGGGAGGCAGCAGUGGGGAAUAUUGCACAAUGGGCGCAAGCCUGAUGCAGCAACGCCGCGUGCGGGAUGACGGCCUUCGGGUUGUAAACCGCUUUCAGCAGGGACGAAGCUUUUUGUGACGGUACCUGCAGAAGAAGCACCGGCUAACUACGUG
Molecule: ribosomal RNA, 465 nt
Filed under: uncultured bacterium
Lineage: Bacteria
Description: partial 16S ribosomal RNA
Rfam family: Bacterial small subunit ribosomal RNA
Source: RNAcentral